GAUCCUGGCUCAGGAUGAACGCUAGCUACAGGCUUAACACAUGCAAGUCGAGGGGCAGCAUGGUCUUAGCUUGCUAAGGCCGAUGGCGACCGGCGCACGGGUGAGUAACACGUAUCCAACCUGCCGUCUACCUCGUUGGACACGUCCUUCUAGGAAAAGGAAGUAAUUAACUAACAAGAGUGGCAUCAUGACGUCCGCAUUGUUCACAUGUAAGUUAAAGGUACGUUCCGGUAGACGAGUGGGGA
RNAcentral lists this ribosomal RNA (245 nucleotides) under uncultured bacterium. RNAcentral's name for it is "partial 16S ribosomal RNA". It matches the Rfam family "Bacterial small subunit ribosomal RNA", at positions 15 to 231 of the family's 1533-position model. The record is from RNAcentral.